GACGAACGCUGGCGGCGUGCUUAACACAUGCAAGUCGAACGGAAAGGCCCUGCUUUUGUGGGGUGCUCGAGUGGCGAACGGGUGAGUAACACGUGAGUAACCUGCCCUUGACUUUGGGAUAACUUCAGGAAACUGGGACUAAUACCGGAUAGGAGCUCCUGCUGCAUGGUGGGGGUUGGAAAGUUUCGGCGGUUGGGGAUGGACUCGCGGCUUAUCAGCUUGUUGGUGGGGUAGUGGCUUACCAAGGCUUUGACGGGUAGCCGGCCUGAGAGGGUGACCGGCCACAUUGGGACUGAGAUACGGCCCAGACUCCUACGGGAGGCAGCAGUGGGGAAUAUUGCACAAUGGGCGGAAGCCUGAUGCAGCAACGCCGCGUGCGGGAUGACGGCCUUCGGGUUGUAAACCGCUUUCGCCUGUGACGAAGCGUGAGUGACGGUAAUGGGUAAAGAAGCACCGGCUAACUACGUGCCAGCAGCCGCGGUGAUACGUAGGGUGCGAGCGUUGUCCGGAUUUAUUGGGCGUAAAGGGCUCGUAGGUGGUUGAUCGCGUCGGAAGUGUAAUCUUGGGGCUUAACCCUGAGCGUGCUUUCGAUACGGGUUGACUUGAGGAAGGUAGGGGAGAAUGGAAUUCCUGGUGGAGCGGUGGAAUGCGCAGAUAUCAGGAGGAACACCAGUGGCGAAGGCGGUUCUCUGGGCCUUUCCUGACGUUGAGGAGCGAAAGCGUGGGGAGCGAACAGGCUUAGAUACCCUGGUAGUCCACGCUGUAAACGGUGGGUACUAGGUGUGGGGUCCAUUCCACGGGUUCCGUGCCGUAGCUAACGCUUUAAGUACCCCGCCUGGGGAGUACGGCCGCAAGGCUAAAACUCAAAGGAAUUGACGGGGCCCCGCACAAGCGGCGGAGCAUGCGGAUUAAUUCGAUGCAACGCGUAGAACCUUACCUGGGUUUGACAUGGAUCGGGAGUGCUCAGAGAUGGGUGUGCCUCUUUUGGGGUCGGUUCACAGGUGGUGCAUGGCUGUCGUCAGCUCGUGUCGUGAGAUGUUGGGUUAAGUCCCGCAACGAGCGCAACCCUUGUUCACUGUUGCCAGCACGUUAUGGUGGGGACUCAGUGGAGACCGCCGGGGUCAACUCGGAGGAAGGUGGGGAUGACGUCAAGUCAUCAUGCCCCUUAUGUCCAGGGCUUCACGCAUGCUACAAUGGCUGGUACAGAGAGUGGCGAGCCUGUGAGGGUGAGCGAAUCUCGGAAAGCCGGUCUCAGUUCGGAUUGGGGUCUGCAACUCGACCUCAUGAAGUCGGAGUCGCUAGUAAUCGCAGAUCAGCAACGCUGCGGUGAAUACGUUCCCGGGGCU
RNAcentral lists this ribosomal RNA (1346 nucleotides) under uncultured bacterium. RNAcentral describes it as "partial 16S ribosomal RNA". It matches the Rfam family "Bacterial small subunit ribosomal RNA", at positions 28 to 1381 of the family's 1533-position model. The record is from RNAcentral.